AUGUAAUUUAAUGCCUACAAUGUUAAUGCAUUGAAUCCCAUUAGAAAUAUAUAGUUAAGUGCAAUUGGGAUAGAGUAUUACUAGGAUGGGUGACCUCCCAGGAACUCCUAGUGUUUUACAUG
Molecule: non-coding RNA, 122 nt
Organism: Picea glauca (white spruce)
Lineage: Eukaryota; Viridiplantae; Streptophyta; Pinopsida; Pinales; Pinaceae
Source: Rfam